GAUGAACGCUGGCGGCGUGCCUAAUACAUGCAAGUCGAGCGAACAGACGAGGAGCUUGCUCCUCUGACGUUAGCGGCGGACGGGUGAGUAACACGUGGAUAACCUACCUAUAAGACUGGGAUAACUUCGGGAAACCGGAGCUAAUACCGGAUAAUAUAUUGAACCGCAUGGUUCAAUAGUGAAAGACGGUUUUGCUGUCACUUAUAGAUGGAUCCGCGCCGCAUUAGCUAGUUGGUAAGGUAACGGCUUACCAAGGCGACGAUGCGUAGCCGACCUGAGAGGGUGAUCGGCCACACUGGAACUGAGACACGGUCCAGACUCCUACGGGAGGCAGCAGUAGGGAAUCUUCCGCAAUGGGCGAAAGCCUGACGGAGCAACGCCGCGUGAGUGAUGAAGGUCUUCGGAUCGUAAAACUCUGUUAUUAGGGAAGAACAAAUGUGUAAGUAACUAUGCACGUCUUGACGGUACCUAAUCAGAAAGCCCCGGCUAACUACGUG
RNAcentral lists this ribosomal RNA (497 nucleotides) under uncultured bacterium. RNAcentral describes it as "partial 16S ribosomal RNA". It matches the Rfam family "Bacterial small subunit ribosomal RNA", at positions 28 to 507 of the family's 1533-position model. The record is from RNAcentral.